This is a long non-coding RNA of Hypanus sabinus (Atlantic stingray), 736 nucleotides long. RefSeq lists it as uncharacterized. The record is from RefSeq and is a predicted model, not a curated record. NCBI's taxonomy places the organism in Eukaryota, Metazoa, Chordata, Chondrichthyes, Myliobatiformes, Dasyatidae. The transcript has 3 exons.
CCGCCCACCGCCCUGAUGACGGGCUGACGACAUCGCGCACGCUCAGUUCUUUCCGUUCUUUGUUCAAGCGGAUCGGCAUCGGGAGGGGUUCCUCGCCCCCAGGGUGGGGAGCCGGGAACGAAUGGUUCUCUGCGGGGCGAAACCUACGAUUUUCUAUUGUUAGACCUGCGGUGAGAAGUUUAUUUGAAGAAAAACCCCAACUGGAAGCAAACCACAGCUGAAGACGAGGGAACAGCAACAAGUGAAUUGGCCCGAGGACUGAGAACAGCAACUGGAGAGACCAACUUUGCAUCAAGAGACUCGGAUUUCCCAGUGAUUCAGUCAGGAGAAAGUUUGUUCACCAGCGCUUGAAUGCCGCCGAUCCUUGAAUGUGGAGGCGGAGAUGCUGGAGAAGACAGCGCCCCACUCGCUACAAGGAGAGCUCGAACACGUGUCCAUGUCCGUGAUCUGAUUGGAUACAUCGCCAUGACGUUCAGAGCACUGUGACGUCUUCACUGGCUCUCAUUUUGGAACGGAUUCAGUCGGCCUUCGCAGAUACACCAACAGCUUCCCACUGGGAAGCGGCUGUUCACCUGCUCCGUGUGUGCGAAGAGACUCAUUCAGUUAACCCACCUUGUGAUGCUCCGGUGAGUUCACAGUAAAUAGAGGCCACAUUUCUGUCCGGAGUGAGCAAAGAGUUUUACUCACUCAUCCCAGCUGCUGCAACACCAGCAAAUUCACAUCAGGGAGGAAGUUC